Long non-coding RNA from Centruroides sculpturatus (bark scorpion), 236 nucleotides. RefSeq lists it as uncharacterized. NCBI's taxonomy places the organism in Eukaryota, Metazoa, Arthropoda, Arachnida, Scorpiones, Buthidae. The record is from RefSeq and is a predicted model, not a curated record. The transcript is spliced from 2 exons.
AUAUCUUUGUGAAUUUUAACAAAUGUCAAAAAAUAAAACUAAAUGAAAAACACAUAUAAAAGUUGAUUAUAACAAUAGUAUUAGUGAUGUUAUUAGAGUCAUUUGAAUCAUGAUCAAGUAUUUGAUACUCUUCCUUGUUGCUGCUGCUGCUGCUACUGUUACUUUGGGUCAGUUUUGCGACUCUGGAGAGGAUUGCCAUGAAAAUGAAUGCUGCGUUGCUGAUAUGAGUGGAAUGA